UCUAAUAUGGCAGAUUAGUGCAAUGAACUUAAGAUUCAUUUAUAAAUAUAAAUAUUUUAUUAGAA
RNAcentral lists this transfer RNA (65 nucleotides) under Atkinsoniella heiyuana. Its description in RNAcentral is "tRNA-Leu". Lineage: Eukaryota; Metazoa; Arthropoda; Insecta; Hemiptera; Cicadellidae. The record is from RNAcentral.